AACGAACGCUGGCGGCAUGCCUAACACAUGCAAGUCGAACGAGACCUUCGGGUCUAGUGGCGCACGGGUGCGUAACGCGUGGGAAUCUGCCCUUGGGUUCGGGAUAACAGUUGGAAACGACUGCUAAUACCGGAUGAUGACGUAAGUCCAAAGAUUUAUCGCCCAAGGAUGAUCCCGCGUAGGAUUAGCUAGUUGGUGAGGUAAAGGCUCACCAAGGCGACGAUCCUUAGCUGGUCUGAGAGGAUGAUCAGCCACACUGGGACUGAGACACGGCCCAGACUCCUACGGGAGGCAGCAGUGGGGAAUAUUGGACAAUGGGCGAAAGCCUGAUCCAGCAAUGCCGCGUGAGUGAUGAAGGCCUUAGGGUUGUAAAGCUCUUUUACCAGGGAUGAUAAUGACAGUACCGGGAGAAUAAGCGCCGGCUAACUCCGUG
This 433-nucleotide ribosomal RNA is filed under the name uncultured bacterium. RNAcentral's name for it is "partial 16S ribosomal RNA". It matches the Rfam family "Bacterial small subunit ribosomal RNA", at positions 29 to 507 of the family's 1533-position model. The record is from RNAcentral.